UACGAAGGGUGCAAACGUUGCUCGGAAUUAUUGGGCGUAAAGAGCUCGUAGGCGGUCUGUCGCGUCUGCUGUGAAAACUCGGGGCUUAACCCCGGGCCUGCAGUGGGUACGGGCAGACUAGAGUGCGGUAGGGGAGACUGGAAUUCCUGGUGUAGCGGUGAAAUGCGCAGAUAUCAGGAGGAACACCGGUGGCGAAGGCGGGUCUCUGGGCCGUAACUGACGCUGAGGAGCGAAAGCGUGGGGAGCGAACAGG
This 253-nucleotide ribosomal RNA is filed under the name uncultured bacterium. RNAcentral's name for it is "partial 16S ribosomal RNA". It matches the Rfam family "Bacterial small subunit ribosomal RNA", at positions 524 to 776 of the family's 1533-position model. The record is from RNAcentral.